Molecule: ribosomal RNA, 104 nt
Filed under: uncultured Pyronemataceae
Lineage: Eukaryota; Fungi; Ascomycota; Pezizomycetes; Pezizales; Pyronemataceae
Description: partial 18S ribosomal RNA
Rfam family: Eukaryotic small subunit ribosomal RNA
Source: RNAcentral
AGUGAGGCUUUCGGACUGUCUCGUCGGAAUCGGCAACGAUUUUGACAUGAUGGAAAGUUAGUCAAACUUGGUCAUUUAGAGGAAGUAAAAGUCGUAACAAGGUU